UCUACCCCAAAAGGCUUUACAUGUGUAGCUGCUGUGUCAGUGUGCAUCAAUAGGUGGCAGAGAGGAGAGAGGCUGUGUCCUAACCUAUGAACAAUUGAAUAAA
Non-coding RNA from Mus musculus (house mouse), 103 nucleotides. The record is from Rfam. NCBI's taxonomy places the organism in Eukaryota, Metazoa, Chordata, Mammalia, Rodentia, Muridae.